This is an RNA transcript of Aegilops tauschii subsp. strangulata, 2035 nucleotides long. It is a transcript of the gene named pentatricopeptide repeat-containing protein At3g53170, with no coding region annotated. The record is from RefSeq and is a predicted model, not a curated record. Lineage: Eukaryota; Viridiplantae; Streptophyta; Magnoliopsida; Poales; Poaceae.
GUAAUGGGAUGGGACGGGAGCAGUUUCGCUCAGUUGCUCUGCCGCCUGCCGCUCGGCACCUUAUCUCCUCCGUCUCGCGCCACUCCACGGCACCAUGCACUCGCCGGCGCGCUGCCCCGCCGCCACCGCCACCGCGUCCCCGCCUCUGCGCGCGCCGUUCGUCGCCAUGGCCCAGCGCGGCCGCAGGCCGCCCUCGUCCGCGCCCCCCGAGGCCGAGCAGCCGGACGAGGCGCUCGCACGCAUCCUCCGCACGGAGGCCGCCGUCUCCGGCGUCCCCCGCAAGGCCGCGGCGGGCUCCAGCCAGCACUCCACCCGCCUCUGGCCCCGCGCCGUCCUCGAGGCCCUCGACUCCGCCGUCGCCUCCUCCCGCUGGGAGUCCGCCCUCGAGAUCUUCGAGCUGCUGCGGAAGCAGCGGUGGUACGAGCCGAGGACGCAGACCUACGCCAGGCUGCUGAUGAUGCUCGGCAGGUGCCGGCAGCCCGGCCCGGCCACCGCCCUAUUCAAGGUGAUGCUCUCGGAGGAGCGGCUCGCGCCGACGGUGGACGUGUACACGGCGCUCGUUGGCGCCUACGGCUACAGCGGCCUGCUGGACGAGGCAUUGGCCACGGUCGAUCUGAUGAAAGGCGCUGACGCAGACUGCAAGCCGGACGAGUACACCUUCUCCGUCCUCAUCAACUGCUGCUGUAAGUCGCGCCGCUUCGACCUGAUCCCCACCGUCCUCGACGAGAUGUCAUAUCUGGGGGUUGGAUGCAACGUUGUCAUCCACAAUGGGAUAAUUGAUGGGUACGGCAAGGCCGGCAUGCUAGAGGAGAUGGAGGAUGCGCUGUCCAACAUGCUUCAAGACGGGGACAAUGUGCCGGACAUAUACACGAUGAACUCCAUCAUAUGGGCCUACGGCAACCGUGGCAGGGUGGAUGACAUGGAGAGGUGGUACGGUGAGUUUCAGUUGAUGGGCGUUGAGCCAGAUACGUGGACGUUCAAUAUCAUGAUGAAGUCUUACGGCAAGGCUAACAUGCCUGACAAAAUGCUGUCCAUCCUGAAAUACAUGAAGCGGCGUUUCUUCUCACCCUCUGCUGCUACGUUCAACAUAAUCAUAGAUUGUUUUGGAAGGGCUGGCAACAUUGAGAAGAUGGAGUACUAUUUCAGGCUGAUGAAAAUUCAGGGUGUCAAACCCAACCCCAUUACAUACUGCUCGCUGGUUAAUGGAUACAGUAAAGCUGGGCUCCUUGAUAUGAUUCCUGCAAUUAUUCGACAGACGGAGAACACCGAUGUCGUCUUAGAUACUCCAUUUUUCAACUGUGUUAUCAGUGCAUACUUCAAGUCUGGAGAUACCAAAAUAAUGGAGGAAAUGCUAGUGCUAAUGAAUGAAAAGAAAUGUAAGCCAGACAAGGUAAUUUAUACCACCAUGAUUCAGGCAUAUAUUGCGCAUGGGAUGGAUGAAGCCGCUAAGUUGUUAGAAACAGAAAUGGAAAGAUUUGACAAGAAAUUACUGGGACCAGUUCCUGAGGUUGAUUACAAGUAAACUGCGGCCAUCAUUUUUUAGGGGACAGAGCAGUAAGAUUUGUGUAAUACGAGAUUGGGGAAAAAGAGCAUGUAUGAGGGGGCCUUCAGAGAAUAUGGUUAUAAAUCCAGAGCUUGGCCAUAAUGACCAUUAGUUCCAUCGACACCAGACUAAGCGUUCCCAGUUCGAUGCCAAUGACAGGCAAUAAUGAACAAUGUGGAAUGGAAAACCAGCUGUGGCCUGUUGUGUCCGAAACAGGAGUCCGACACGGCCUCAUUGUGCAAAGCCAUUUAAACAUUCAUCUGAUCUGACUGAAUGCACAAGUACAAACCCAGACAGAGCUAACUUGGGAUAUCUAGAAGUGGAAGGGACUGUGGUACAGCAGAUAAGGUCGGGUUCAGAGCUCCAGCUCAUUAUAUAUCCAUAUCAGUAUGUAAAUCUAGUCCCCUUUGGUUCUGCAUGAAAAUUCACUACCAAAAUAAGGGAUAUAGAGAACAAAUCGAAAAGAAAGAAACAACCAUUUGAAUUUCCCUA